AGCGAACGCUGGCGGCAGGCUUAACACAUGCAAGUCGAGCGGGCCCUUCGGGGUCAGCGGCGGACGGGUGAGUAACGCGUGGGAACGUGCCUUCUGGUCUGGAAUAACCCUGGGAAACUAGGGCUAUAACGGAAAAGCCCCUUUGGGGGAAAGGUUUACUGCCGGAAGAUCGGCCCGCGUCUGAUUAGCUAGUUGGUGGGGUAACGGCCUACCAAGGCGACGAUCAGUAGCUGGUCUGAGAGGAUGAUCAGCCACACUGGGACUGAGACACGGCCCAGACUCCUACGGGAGGCAGCAGUGGGGAAUAUUGGACAAUGGGCGCAAGCCUGAUCCAGCCAUGCCGCGUGAGUGAUGAAGGCCUUAGGGUUGUAAAGCUCUUUUAUCCGGGACGAUAAUGACGGUACCGGAGGAAUAAGCCCCGGCUAACUUCGUG
This 433-nucleotide ribosomal RNA is filed under the name uncultured bacterium. RNAcentral describes it as "partial 16S ribosomal RNA". It matches the Rfam family "Bacterial small subunit ribosomal RNA", at positions 29 to 507 of the family's 1533-position model. The record is from RNAcentral.